AACAAAUGUGUACUGCUUCUGUGAUUUUGCUGAAUAUAACUUUGAUUAUUGUCUUUGGAGAAUAUGGACUCUUGUCCUGUUAGAGAAAAGGAUCCUUAUUUAGAAAAAUGUAUGGUAUUCAGCCUUCACAAAUAUUAUCUGUCUCACUAAAUGUUAAAGAUUUUUGUACAUAAGCCCAUAACUUUCAGUAUUUACCUUCCAUGUGAUCCUCCGGUCUGUUGUGCUGUAUUCAGGUGCAUGUGGUGAGUUGCCUGUGGCAACUGAAUGCAGAUAGUGUGAGCUCAUGAGGCUGCUGUGAUUCUUUAUUCAUGCCACCACCAGCCAGCUCUUCUGAGGAACAGGAUAUCAUGGGAUGCCUCUUUCGAAGGGAGGAGGUGUGUCUGGUCUAGCUCUUCAGUUUGAUGGAUACACUACUGUUCAGAAGCUUUGGGGGUUUGGAGGAGAGAGAUGGAAUACUUCAAGGGGUAGGAAAGCAGGAUAGUGGAUGCCACAGUGGAAGAUACGUGUGCAGAAGUGUAAAGCUGUGCAGAUGGUCCUUAACCUUUGUAGCCCUUCAGUUACAGACAAGUGUCUCAUCGCAGAUGCCUGAACUUCCCCUGCUGCAGAGCGCUCUGAUAGAAGGAAUGAUUAGAUAAGACUAUUUAAUAAACUGUUUCACAAAAAAAAUGUCACAAAGUCAAGUGUGAUUUUCAAGUAUUGAAGUAUAGAGGGUGAGGGCUAGAAAUGCAAGAAGUUUCUUCUUUUCUCAUUUAGCUACAGCAGGAUUCGGAGAAGUGAAUUUUGCAAUGGAGUAUUGUUUUUUUUGUCCUUUCUGUUUUUUAGAGAAAGAGUGGUAGCAGUGUGGACUACCUGCACCCACAUCUCCCCUUCAACACUCUUUAGCACCAACAUAUUCACUUCCAGCUUCCAGAACAUUGUGGAUGCUUAUGGUGUGGCAUGUUACAGAGAG
Molecule: long non-coding RNA, 949 nt
Organism: Cyprinus carpio (common carp)
Lineage: Eukaryota; Metazoa; Chordata; Actinopteri; Cypriniformes; Cyprinidae
Exons: 3
Source: RefSeq, a predicted model, not a curated record